UCGAGCGAAGCGUAUUAGCGGAAGUUUUCGGAUGGAAGCGGAUAUGACUUAGCGGCGGACGGGUGAGUAACGCGUGGAUAACCUGCCUCAUACAGGGGGAUAACAGUUAGAAAUGACUGCUAAUACCGCAUAAGCGCACAGGACCACAUGGUCCGGUGUGAAAAACUCCGGUGGUAUGGGAUGGAUCCGCGUCUGAUUAGCUGGUUGGUGAGGUAACGGCCCACCAAGGCGACGAUCAGUAGCCGACCUGAGAGGGUGGCCGGCCACAUUGGGACUGAGACACGGCCCAAACUCCUACGGGAGGCAGCAGUGGGGAAUAUUGCACAAUGGGGGAAACCCUGAUGCAGCAACGCCGCGUGAGUGAAGAAGUAUUUCGGUAUGUAAAGCUCUAUCAGCAGGGAAGAAGAAAGACGGUACCUGACUAAGAAGCCCCGGCUAACUACGUGCCAGCAGCCGCGGUAAUACGUAGGGGGCAAGCGUUAUCCGGAUUUACUGGGUGUAAAGGGAGCGUAGACGGCUGUGCAAGUCUGAAGUGAAAGCCCGUGGCUCAACCGCGGAACUGCUUUGGGAACUGUAUAGCUUGAGUACUGGAGAGGCAGGCGGAAUUCCUAGUGUAGCGGUGAAAUGCGUAGAUAUUAGGAGGAACACCAGUGGCGAAGGCGGCCUGCUGGACAGAAACUGACGUUGAGGCUCGAAAGCGUGGGGAGCAAACAGGAUUAGAUACCCUGGUAGUCCACGCGGUAAGCG
This 747-nucleotide ribosomal RNA is filed under the name uncultured bacterium. RNAcentral describes it as "bacterial SSU rRNA". It matches the Rfam family "Bacterial small subunit ribosomal RNA", at positions 62 to 808 of the family's 1533-position model. The record is from RNAcentral.